GUGUCAGCCGCCGCGGUAAUACGGAGGGUGCAAGCGUUGUUCGGAAUCACUGGGCGUAAAGCGCGUGUAGGCGGCCAUUUAAGUUUGGUGUGAAAGCCCUGGGCUCAACUCAGGAAGUGCACUGAAUACUGGGUGGCUGGAGUACCGGAGAGGAGGGUGGAAUUCCUGGUGUAGCGGUGAAAUGCGUAGAUAUCAGGAGGAACACCGGUGGCGAAGGCGUCCCUCUGGCCGGAUACUGACGCUGAGACGCGAAAGCGUGGGGAGCAAACAGGAUUAGAUACCCUGGUAGUCCACGCCAUAAACGAUGGGCACUAGGUGUUCGGGGUAUUGACUCCCUGAGUGCCGCAGCUAACGCAUUAAGUGCCCCGCCUGGGGACUACGGCCGCAAGGUUAAAACUCAAAGGAAUUGACGG
This 413-nucleotide ribosomal RNA is filed under the name uncultured bacterium. RNAcentral's name for it is "bacterial SSU rRNA". It matches the Rfam family "Bacterial small subunit ribosomal RNA", at positions 505 to 916 of the family's 1533-position model. The record is from RNAcentral.